This is a long non-coding RNA of Passer domesticus (house sparrow), 9074 nucleotides long. RefSeq lists it as uncharacterized. Lineage: Eukaryota; Metazoa; Chordata; Aves; Passeriformes; Passeridae. The record is from RefSeq and is a predicted model, not a curated record. The transcript has 12 exons.
CUCCCCUCAGGGCGCGUCGGGAAAUCCCUGCCCUCAGGAGAGAGCGGCUCCCCUCAGGGCGCGGCGGGAGGUGCUGACCCCGCACAUCGCGUCAUCCCUGGCACUCCUGCUAGAUUUUGUCGCUGCAACUGUUAGUUGGCUCUUGCUGUAAUUGAUGGACACUGCCAGUUGCUUGGACAGAUGGGAAUUAAUACUGGUGUUCCCAUUAGAGCUCACCAUCACAGUCACGCUGGCUUUGCACUGGGUUGAUGCGUGCAAGAGAGUGCGUGUGGAAGGAGCAAGCGUGGUUCCUGCCUGCAGUACUUGCCUUCCAGGGCCUUGGAGCCAUCCAUCCAACACAGAGCAGAUGAGCUGCUUGCCAGCAGUUUGCAGAACACAUGGCUUUGAGGUGGUGUGGAGAAUGCUUCUUUCCUGGUUGCUGAGAGUUUGCGGUGAGUGGGACUCUCAUCCCCGGAGGCGUUUGUGAGCUGUACUUACAGUUCACAGGACAGAAGUGUUCCUGAAAGAUGACCUGAAGUUCAAAUGAAGAUGCACUGCCAUGUGGCCCAGCUGUUUCCUCUGGAUCUCUGGUGACCCAGCACAGCCACAGCGGACCUGACAGGUGACAACCGUGAGGCACAGCAGGAAGUGAAGGCUAAGAUGCAAACACUGUGAUCCCAAGUGAGUUCAAGGACAUCCACCUUUCUUCUGAUGGCUGGAGCAGGACAGCGAUCCUGUUUGAGCAGCGUUGGAUUGAAGAAUUUAAGAAGGGGAGGCUGCCAGAGGAAUCAGGAUGCCGGAGGAAUGGCAGAAUAAAAGAGGCCAGAGAAGCAAUAAAAACCAGAUGACUCCAUGCCACAAGGACUGCUGCAAACAUGGAAGAAAUGUCAUGACUGGGCCAGCAAGUUUGUCACUGGCCAUGGCACAGAAACCACCUCUACCUGCCAGGUAAGGAACAACCUCCCUUGGGGUGUUUUCUCUCGCUUCUGCCCCAACUCUCCAAAGGAGCAGCGUGCUCUUCUGAGCCAGGGAGAGCUGUGAACACUGUCCUGCUCUCCCAACAGCCUGAGCCCAUCUUCCCAGCCCACCCCAGACACGGCAAGGCAGAGGUGAAGCUCCCCACUCAAACCCAGAGGCACUGACCAUCGGUGUCCAGCUAGACCUGUCACUGGGGUCUCAGGGACAGACAGAGCCACAGCCCCACAGAGGGGGGGGCUUUUUUCUAGGGCCCAUGAUUACGCUGGCAGGAAUUUCAGUUGGUUAACUUUUUUAGCCCUUAGUCUUGCACAAAAUUCCUACCACAGAUGAAAAGGUUUUCUAACCCAAUCAUCAGUUUCUACCCUCAUUUGCAUUUUUGCCAUGGGCUGAACGUGUCUUUCUUUGUGGUCCUGAUGUCACUUGUGUUCAUGAGGUUUCUGCUCCAUUGUGCAGGAUCCCAUUUGGGAGCCCCUCCUGGAGGCUAUCAUAGUUUCCCUCAAAUCCAGGCUUGUAAUUCUUGAUGUUGGAAUGCAUUUCCUAGUUUGCUUCUGAAAAACACUGCACAAAAUGUUUGCUUUCUGUGAAAUCUGAAGCUCUUCUAAAUUAGCAAUUCUGAACUGCUGAAGAAAAUGCAUGUAAGUGACACAGCUUCAAACCUGCAUGCUCUGCUUCUGCAUUUAAAAAGUACUCAAGCAAAGCUGAUUAGGCCACUAUCUUUAAAGUUUCAUCAAGACACCUCAGUAUGGCCGAGGUGGGUGUUUCAGACAGAGACAGCUUCCUGGACUGCAGUUAGGAACUGCUUUGCACAUUCCAUAUAGGCUGACUUGACUACAAAACCUGCCAUAAGGAUGUGCCCAUAAGGAUGCACAUUCUUCAUUCUGUUUUAAUUAACAUGAUGCUAUCGUGUCUCUUCAAAGACAGGCUCUGUUGUCGCUGCGAGUCCCUCUGGGAUCAAGCCUCUCCUCAGCGUCACCAUUGUCAGCGCAUUUGGCUGGCCCACACUUGGGGGACUUAUGUUUCACUGUAAUUCCUUCCAAAACACGCAGAAAAGGCUCUCACUCUCUCUUUCUCAUUAGCGUGAUGGAAAGAGCAUGUCUUGAGGCAGCUAUUUAAAGUCCCAGUCAAAUGGAACUACUGAAAGCUGUUCUUUCAGAGGCAAGGUCAGAAUUGUUCGAUAUGGUAACAAAUUUUCCAAGGCUUAUGCCAGUGGGAAGACAAGCACACAUUAUGGCCUUGUAUUUUCAGUGCACUGUCAAGUCUUUGUUUCCACACUUGCAGCCUCAGAGAGCUCGUGCUUGAGGGAACUGCCAUCUCCAAAACAUACCAACCUCCAUCCUCUUAAUUCCCCCAACUCCUCGUCCACCGUAGUAGGAAGCAUCCACCGUGGGCCACUUCUUGGAAGGCAAGGGCUCUGGUUCUUCUUCCUGACUUAAUUCAGGCCGCACUGAGCUGAGGCAGAGCAGAGAUCUGGACUUCAGCAACCCUGUUCUCCUCUGAAGGCACCCCCGGGGCAGUCCUUUCUCUGGCAGCACUCAGACAAGGAGCCAGACACACGGCGCACAGGGAAGCACAGGAGCGGUUCUAUGUGAGCAGCGUGGUAAGAUGAGCACCAUCAGACCAUACCUCUUUUGGGACUGGCGGAGGUGGAGGGGGAUCCUUGAUGACCUGGAAGAGCCAAACAUAGGAAAGAAUAAGGCACUGCAGUGGCAGCAGCCAAAGGCAACAGACCACGGUAAGAGUGACCUGCUUCCACCCGAGCCCCCACAACCGCCAGCGAGCUGGCAGCCUCUGCUGCCCGCUCCCCUGGGCAUCCAUCAGCGAGGCCUUCUGGAAAUUACCACCAUCCAUCUGCCAGACCUGCCAUCCCUGCCUGCAGACACUCUGGGCAGACGUGUCUGCCACCGCGCUUCCUGGCCGGAUGAGCCUCAGCCGCCGUGAGGGACAGCCAGUGCCGAGACCCCGCAGAGUCCGUGAGCAAUCCCGGAGGAAAAGCGUCUGAGGCCUGUGUGAGGCCCUGCACAGCCGUGGGCCGAGCUGCCGCUGCUGCUGCUGUGUGGCUGGGGAGUCUCUGGCCCAGUGACAAGUGUGAAAUGCCUUCUGGCAGCUCAGGCUUCACCUCUGGAUGUCCUGGACGCUUCCGCAGCCCUCACAUUUCCCAGCUCCAUGACUGUGCAGUGCCUGCACUGCAGUCACACUCCCACACUUCUGACACUGCUCCGGGUGAAGCCCACUCCCGGGAGCAUUUCUUACACCUCUAUUUAAAUCUCCCUACAGUCUCUUCCUGUUCCCUUUGCCACAUCCACACUCUAAAGCUCAGAGAAUGCCCAGCACUGACAGUCCCAGCAGGGGAGAGGCAGGCAAGGGACCCUCUCCACUGAUUUGGCUGCGAACUGCAUGCACAGGCACUCCUCCUCGAGAAAAGCAGGUUUGCAAGCUAACCUUGUUAAGUUUUUUGGUGACAUUGGGCCAUGUUUUGGGUUUGGGAUUGCCUGGAAAUGACUAAAAAAUACACCUUGAAUAUCAAGGAGUCCAUUUUUGCUAUGCCUUGAUAUUACACAAACAUAUCCAAAACUGCGCAUGCUGACAAACAACUCAAUGUAAUACAGGCUUUAAGUAACUUAAUUGAAAUAUGCCUUACUUGAGUCACUCUGUGCUAUUUAAUGUUAGUACUUUCAUUAAACACUGCCUAUGAGCAAUACCAUUGCAGACAGUCAGCACAGUGCAUGAAAGAAACAUAUUUUUCUGAUCAGUAGAGUUUUCCAUCUUGAUUUACAUUUCACUUCUCAGUGCCACCCAGGCAGUUACUACUGACUGCCUAAACAGGCUGUGGACUUUCAGCAAUGCAUAAAGGAAUUCUGCCCAAUAGCAGAAAUAACAUAUGGCACCCCUGGAACCAGCUUUCCACAGCCCUUCAGAUUUAAGUUAUGGAAUGGCUCAUUUGUCAAGCUCAGAGUGCUUUGGAUGGAUUGGAAAGUGACCUGUAGGUUUCAACUCUGAGACAUCCCUUUGCUGUUAGGAUGUUGCAAAACCAUGCCAGACAUUACUUUUCUUUAAAUAGCUCUGAACACUUUUUCUUCCUAGUCAUCAGGAGUUUCCAGCAUACUUAACAGAAAGUAAUUAUUUAAUUAGUGAAACAUUCCUGAGAGCCACACUGCUAUCAUUACCCUAACUGUACAUGAAACAGCAACACAGAGGGAUCGUGAGACAGAUCCUGAGAGAUACUUGGAUGCUGAGUUGGAUUUGCCAAAGCCUGGAGAUAUUCAGUUCUUGCUGAAAGCAAUUAGGAGACUGGAAACAGUAAAGCAGCGCUUUCUCUCAAUGAAGGGACACCUUGUUUAAUUUCUGUCAUUAUUUCCAUUUCACCUGUCCCUAACCAUCAUCCCAAAACAGUCUCUGUCAGGCCUGCCAGCUGUACAGGAGAAGGUCCUUCUGGGUGGAUUUGUGUGCCCCCAUAUGAAAUGGCACUGCCCUUCCCCAUCUACAGCUGUGCCACUCUGAAGGCUCACAUCUGUCUGGACACAGACAGCUUUGCCCAGCCAACCUCUCUGUGAUGAGGGAUGGAAUUCCUGCGGGCCCUGUGCCCAUUGGGGAUGUAGGAAUUACAGCUCCCUCCCUGACAAUCAAGGGAAACCUGACUUGUUUGAGCUUACUGUGGCUUCCUAAGGCAAUAGUCAGUGGCAGCUUUUGCUCAUCUCCUCAAGUGGAGGAUCUAAUCCUGUGCCAGCUCCUGAACUCGCUGAAGUUUGAGGGGAAAUUCAGUUUAAAGCCAAGCAAUCCAUUAAUUAGCUGUUAUUUCUAAUGGCUUCAGAAAAUCAAACUUGUUUUAAAAGUGACAGUGGUGUGAGAAAAUAAUCUGCUUUGAGUAGCAGCUCCUCACCCUGCUGACAGCACUGGAAUGUCAAUGCCUGCAUCCUUAUGCUUCCACAGGCUCUCACACUCACACACUCGAAUCACACGUGCACACACAAGGAUUCUAUUCAAUCGUGUGAUAUUCCAAGUGAAAUCAUUAGAAAGCUGUUUCUGAAGAAGAGAAAUCCAAGGCACACGUGCAGCUCUGCAUGGAGCUGCACACAGAUCUGCACAGAGGAAGACCUGAAUAUUUUAAAUUAACUUUCCCCAAGCUGGAUUCAGAUUGUUUCAGUGACAAAGCCUCUGAAUAAUGCUGCUGUCUUAUCAUCCUCAUGGAGAUAUGGGCUGCUUCCUCAGUUUGUUUGGUGUUAUCACCAGUCUCUCAGGGCAAAGCUCCAUCUCAUUUAGUGAGUUGCAAAAAAUGAAGGUUUGAGUUUGGAGAAGAACUGAUUUCUUUAAAAAAAUCAUUAAAAAAAAGAAGUUGGUGCUUGAGGCAGCAGUGCCUCUGAUCCACUCAUUAACACUUCUCUGCCGCUCCAUUAUGUGGGCAUUAGGAGAUGUCAGCUCAGAGCCUACAGCCAGCUUGCUGCAAUCAUAUGUUCCACAGCGAAGGACAAGUGACAGAACUGUCACAGUGAAACCCUUGAAAGUGGGGGACAAGGAAGGAAAAGGAAGAGGAGUCCCCCUGCCCCACCCUCUGAGUGUCCAAGGGACUCACACCAUGGAACGCUGUGAGACUGAGCCCCAGCCAGGAUGGAGCUGGGCCGCAGGCAGGGGACAACACACCCGCCUGGCUCCAGACACUUGUUCUGCCCACAACACCCUGCACCUCUCUUUUCCAUUGGAAUCUGACUCCUGUGCUCCUGCUCCUUCUUCCAGGAAACCAGGGAAGCAGAGCCAGAGGAAGGGAAGAGCAGGUCCUGCCCGGCCCUAAUGCUGCCUCUCUCCUCAGGGACGCUGCCCUGAAGCCCAGGACUACUCAGCCACAAGUGGCCCUUCCAGUGAUGGAUGUCCAGGCCUCAUGGGCAGGAGAGAAGGGCAGGAACUGAGCGAAAACCAGAAGGAAGGACCAGUGCUCUGCAGCAGGUUCAGUGCAACAGCGUGUGGGCCUGGAACACAGCAGUGCUGUAGCAGAGGGAGGCUCAUCAUAUGAAACCAAGUGGAGGUAAGGUGACUAACAGGAAGCUCCCUGGAUUUCUGUUGGGCCUGUGCUGUGGUGAAUGAGAACAAGCGAGGCUUUUUGUUCUCACCUCAGGAAGCCCAGACUGUGAGGGUGCAGAUGGAGGCUGAGAUUUCCUGCCCUGGACAGCCAGGGGCCCGAUGGACCCCCCGGGUCACAAGGGCUGCAGCAUGGUCAGUGAGAAGGCCACUUCCUCUCUGCCCCACAUUCCACAAGCCCCAGACAAGAACAGGUACCCAGACCAGGGAAGCAAUCUCCAUUUCCCAAGUCCUCCAUGCUGUCCUUGAGCUGAAUGAAUAAUAAACUUCCCUGCUCCCCCAGAAAGGAAUGGCAGGAGGAAAGUGAUCAACACUGCUGCUGCUGGGGUGAGGAUAGAGAGCACACUCAGAUAAAAGAGAUGGAUGUGUGCAGGGAUUAUGAAAAAAAAAAUAGGGAUUUCCAACCUGAGAGCCCCUAAUGGCCUACAAAUACCAAUUUUACUGAGAGCAGUUUUAAAGUGGUCCUUGAUGUCAGGGUAACAUCUGCACACCAUUAAGGCCACCCCAUUCCCAGUAUCAGCACCAUGCUGGUGCUGGUUCCUGUGCACGUGACGCAGACAGGCGGGGCCAUGCCCAGUGGAGCCCCAGCGCUGGAGCUGCUCUCCCCAGCCCUUUCCUGCCUGUCACAAGCCCCCCCAGAGCUGCCUCCCCAUCACUUCACAGUUUACUGCAGGAUCUGUUUCCACCCCAGCUUAGGGUGCAGGGGCUGUUCCCCAGGGUCUGUACUCACCACUUUGCAGCAGAGGGGCCAGAACCACCAGAGCAGGCCAAGCGCCACCAGCAGCAACAGCACGAGGACGGCAAUGAGCGCUGCCACGCCACUGGACUGCGGAGACAGCAGGGACAGCGUCAGUGUCCCCAAAACACCCGCUCGCCCCAAAAGCCAGCGACAGCCCUGCUCAGCCCAGGGGCUUCCUUCUGAUGUAAAGCUCAUAAAACUGAUAGCCCUGAGAUCAGAACGAGGCCCACCUUGAGGAAAAGAGAGAGCCCACUGCCUGCUGGGAAUGAGCCAUCAGACACCAAAGGGGAAGUCUCAUCCUAAGCCUGUGGAUAACAGAGAGGUGCCCUUCUCCUCCAUGAGGUCCCAGGUCUCACAAGUGGAUUGGGGAGCACGCAGGGAGGUUUGUAGGCGUCCCUACAAACAGUACACCUGUGAGGCUUUGAUGCUGAUCACCCAGACCCCUGCACAGACUGUGGCACGCUGACUCCCUGCAGCCGUGCUGUGGGAACCUGAAACUGAAGGAGGGAAUGUUCCUGCUUCCAGCAAUACUUGAACUACAGAACUGAGCAGCCCACCUCCCACGCCUCCAGUCCACUUCCUGGGGGCAUCUUUAUUCCUACACUUUAGGCUUUUGGAACAACACUGACAGAAACACAACAGCAUCUCUAGGAAAAUAAAAGUUAUUCAGACUUCAGCUGGGGAAAAAAGGAAAGGAGCGACCCAGGGAACCACUGAGACUGGGAUACUGCAUGAGCAGUCUUGCCCCAGAGGUGCUCCACUGCACAUGGGGGUGGAACAGAGCCAUAUCCCAGUUACUGAUCUAUGAGCAAAGGAAUCCUCUUGGGAGCAGUGUGUGGUGAUGGGCAAAAGAGAUUCUCUCUGUGCUCCACGCCCAGUGGAAAAGCUGCUCUCCAGUCACACUUGAGGAGGAGGACUGACCUGCCCCUGAAACCCACAGCACACCUGGCACACCACCCAGGACUGGCAGAGACCUUGCAAAAAACAAGAGCUGUUGGAGCAACACUGCCUGUUUCUGACCUGCAGGUGUCUGAACUGACUGCACACUGGGGUGUUGUCAGCCCCAAGCUGCAGAAACACCCCACACCCAAAUUCUGACAUCAGCACUGAAAGGGCAGAUGUCCCUGCAGCACGCUGCACAAAGACAGCCAACUAACAGGCUGACAUCAAGCUCCCCACUGCUCGUGGUCUCUGCAAACUCCACCUCUGUUUAUCAAUUCUGCCUUGCCAGAGAUCUUUCCCCUGCUUUGUGCAACAUUUCUUCUUGUGGAAAAUGUGCUUUGUGGAUCUUCCAGGACCUCUAUAGCCUGUCACAGACCAGGCCUGGCUCUCCUGGACUUUUUUUUUCCAACCUCACUGCUGUCUCUUAUAAGUUCUCAGUGUUUAACCCCAAAGCAGGAUGGCUCCUGCAGCUUUUCAGUAUUUAGCCUGCCAUUCCCUCAGCACAUGCUGUGGAACAGAGCUGUACCAGGCAGCACAGUGCUACACAAACAACUUUCCCUUCCAAGACUCUAAUGAAGGUUGUGUUCCAUGUAAUUGUGAGAACAAUGCACUAGUAAUAAGCCAUGAGCAGCCCAACCGUACAGAGACAAUUAGCAAAAUACGCUAAGUGUCAAUUUGUCUUGCAACCUCACUCGGUUUCGCUUAGCCCCAAUUGCAGUUCAAAAGUUUUUGGCAGCAGGCAGCACCAUAAAUCAUAACUUGCCUGGCAUCUGUUCCUGCCCAGAACUAUAAACUGCAUACGGGGUUUGGGUAGGUCAUCAUCACAGCUGGAUUCUUCACGUAAUGAUUUCAAGAAUUGGAGAAGCUCUAUGGCUGUGUAAAGCAUUUGCUUCCUGGGAUAGAGGUCAGAAUAACCAGGAACUGCUGGAAGGACACAGCUGCUGACACAUUCUGGUCAGACUUGGCAUGCUAACAACUCUGAACAACUAAGGAUUUCUAGGGCCACCAGUGUCCUUUCUUCCCUGUGGAUCCAUUCAAGCUUGCACCUCUGUUUGCAUCAGUGCUCACCAGAAGCUGACCACAAAUCAGGCUGCUGUGAUUUUUGGGGAAAGGCAGCAUGAGUCUCUAAGCAAAGUGUAUAUCCUGUAACAGAGCAAAUGUAUCCAACUUGCUAUUUCCAGAACCUGUUUUUAAAGAGAAAACAUUCACCUCUAAAAGCUCAUCCUUGCAAGGCUUGUGCAAAACCCCCAGCACAACAGGAUCGCUUCCACACUUGGUGUGUGCACAAAGAUCCCUGCAGCUUUAUCUCCUGGUCGGCGCACAAAGCCUGUCCCUGGAGCACAGUCCACAGACACACUCCCAGCAGAGU